Molecule: long non-coding RNA, 333 nt
Filed under: Ananas comosus (pineapple)
Lineage: Eukaryota; Viridiplantae; Streptophyta; Magnoliopsida; Poales; Bromeliaceae
Description: long non-coding RNA (ACOM_LNC013422)
Source: RNAcentral
AUGUACAUGGCUUAAGCAAGGAUAUACCCCCACUAUAUAUGAGUUUUGUAGAAUUAGAAUGCUUAACUUAUAUAGUUGGCAGUCGAUUGAAAUUGGAUUGCUUAGUUUAAUGAGAUGACGGUCGAUUGAAUUUGAUUUGUUUAGUUUAACGACUUGAUGGUUAAGAAUGAGAUUGAUUUGAUUUUUUCUCGGUUUAAUGACUUUGUGGUCACGUUGAGUAGAGUUUGAUUUGAUUUGCUUAGUUAACAAAUUGAUGGCCAAAUCGAAAUGAGUUUGGUUUGCUUGAUUUGUCCCCUUUGAAUUUGGUUCGGGUCGAACCUUUAUGUUUUGGUU